This is a long non-coding RNA of Lycium barbarum (goji berry), 3482 nucleotides long. RefSeq lists it as uncharacterized. NCBI's taxonomy places the organism in Eukaryota, Viridiplantae, Streptophyta, Magnoliopsida, Solanales, Solanaceae. The record is from RefSeq and is a predicted model, not a curated record. The transcript has 7 exons.
AACCUAGAAACGUGCUACUGGUAAUUAAUGUGUAUAUUCUCAGAAGUAUAAAGAAUUAAGCCCCCAACUGAAGGACUAAUUGAAUUUACCUAACUGAAAACUCAAUAAUUAUCUUUCUUUAGAAGCCACUCGCUGCAACAAAAUAUGCUUUUAGCGGCACUUAUUUAACGGUAAUAACUUUAUGAUCGUUAAUUGUAUUCUAGAAUCAAUUAUUACGGACAAUAGUAAACUUUAGCUGGUAAACUAAUAUAUUUUGCGGGGGCUAUUACUAUAUUUGUACAUAUUCUUUUAGGGAAAAAAAAAAAAAAAAGGUUGCCUCGCAACUCCAAAAGAUUAGUUCAUUUACCUCCAAUUAUAUUUAUUCUCUGAAAUUCAAAUCGACGAUCUCUCUCUUCUCUAUCGCCCCUUCUCUUUCUCUCUCUCUCUCUGCUCUGUAUUUCAAAAUCGAUAAUCUCCAUAGCUUCUUAAAUUGAGAAACUAGGACUUUGAUUGCUGCUUUAUGUGACACAAUUUAUCAUUUACUGGAAAUGAUGGAUUUCCUACAAUCCGAAAUUUUCCUUCUCAGAAUCACGCAGAGAUUUCCUUUGCUAUUCACCAUCAGUAGCCGAGAUGUGCCAAAAUUUUGAGUUUAUGGAGACCAAGAGAAGCCACCAUUGAUAACUUAUCCAGAUUUGGCUCUACAUUAUCUAUGGCCAUGUGGGAGUUGGACUUAUGAUGUUUCAUCAGCUUGGUGGUAUCAAUGGAAUCUGUUUCUACACCGGUAGAAUAUUUGAGUCCUUAGGGUUGGAGUUUCCAUCUUUUUCUGCAAAAACCAAAUGAUCACUCCAUCGGCUAGGGCUGGAGCCCGUUAUGAUUACCUCAUCAAUCUCCUCUUGAUCGGCAGCAGUGGCCUACCUCAAGAUGUUGUCUAAGUUGUUAGUUUCCCUGCAAUUUUGUUAUGUUUCAUGCAAAUUUGUCUCUGAGGUUAAAAACGACUGAACUCUAAUAGGAUCGAGCUGUAUCUUCUGCAUGUAUAAAGCAAUCAAGGACCAACUUUCAAUUUGAAGUGUCACUCUAUUUUGAUCUUGGUUACUGUCUCAUUUGGCUAUUGUUAUGGAGUAUGAACAGCCAAAGGUGGAGAACUUUUUGCUAGAAUAAGCACUGCUGCAGAUUUAGUGAAAGAUGAGGUUAUACAUAUAUCUCUUGUAUUAUUCCUAUGCUUGAUAAGAAUAAGAUGUUGUACUUAUCAUCUUCAUUUUUGUGUCAACAAACAACAGGUUCGCUUCUUCUUUAACAGCUAAUAUUCUUGUUUGCUACUAUCAUGCCAUGGUAAACUUUAAAAAUAUUGACAUUUUGUACAAUGCACAUCUUUCUAAUGAGGUUCCGUUCUCAAGUUGUUGCUUUUAUUUUUCUGUAAGAAAUUUUUCACAGGGAUUUGAAACUGGAGAACACUUUUCUUGAUGUCCUUUACCAUGGCUAAAAAUUUGCGAUUUUGGUUAUUCCAAGUUUUGUCCUGUUUUCUAGCUGAGAAGCUUGCUUGUGUUACAUUUAUCAUGGCAUUAGUUUACUUUUAUAUAGUCAAUCAAGCAGUCUGGAUCAUUUUUGUCAUGCCUAAUUUAUUUGGCAUCUAUUUAACUUUAUUAGGCUAUAGAUGGAAUAGAGGCUAAGGAUGGUAGACCAUUGGAUUAGGAUUCUUCAAAUACAAUUGUAAGAUUUCUUAUACCAUUUUAUCUUUUAGUACUGAUUAAGCUUAUGAGUUUGAGCUUUGUUGUUGAUGCUGGAAUCAUUGAUCAAUUGCUAGGUUCAGGCGUGUGAAAAUUAUGGUUACCUGACUUAGUUGUGAACUUGAAAAUUGAUUGGAAAAAAAAUCUGGACAUCGAGAGCUUUUAAUUAGGGGAAUAGUUGACUGAAUUGGAAUUGGUACCUUGUUUCAAAACUCAGCCUAGUUACCAGUUUGGGAAUUGAUUCCUUGCUUGAUUCUUAUUGGUAGCUGUUGUAGUUCAAUUGUUAAAAUAAGGAAUUGGUGAGCUGCAACUGAUCUGUUGAAGUUUAAAGGAAGAAAGGUCCAGGAACAAUCCAGUUUGUUUGACUGGUUUCCUUUGUUAAAAAAACAAUUGUGGUUAGAACAAUUUAGAACCACAUAGUGUGUUUUAGAAAUUUGGGUUAAAUCUACUGGUGUUGGAGUUGAAUUCCUCACUGAUGUAUUUUUAAAUUGCUCAGUUCUUCCAUCAAUUUGCUCUUUGAAGUUUCAUUACACUGAUUUUGUACUUUUCACGUGGCACAUGACUUAUUUUUCUCCUUUAUUUCUGGAAGCAUGUUUUCCUACAGAUAUCGAAUAAAGUUGGCUCUAUUAAAGAUCCUCCAGAUAUUACAUAUGAUCGCGAUCCAAGCUGCCAUAGUUUCUCUAGGAAAAGAAAUGAUGGAUCAUUUCCUUGUUUUUCCAUUGUUGGAACACAUCUUAUUGUUUUGAUAAUUCAUACUUUUGUUUACCACCAGAAACUAAGAAAGUGUGUAUUGAGUUUGAUUGUUCUUGUUUUAAAUGAAUGACAUUUUGAGUUUGGUAAUUCUUCUAUUACAACCUUCGAAUUGAUUUCUUUUGUGAUUUUUGUUGUUGAUGCUAUAAAAGAGUGUUGGUUAAAUAUGUGAAAUAAGGUAAAUUCAUAUCAAUUUUAGCCCAUAAUGAUUGCCACUAAAAUAGGUCGGCAAUAACAAUUGCUAUUGAAUAAAUGCCGCCAAAAGUAAUUACUUUUAGUGGCAAUAAUAUGGGUCUUUACUAGCACUUGACAUAAAUGCCACUAAAGGUUUAGUGACUCUGGAUAUAAUGACAUUAACUCAAUUACUGGUAAAUGCUUUUGCGGCAAUAUAGCCGCUAAAAGCAUAUUUUGUUGUAGUGACUAACGAAUCACUUGUAAUGUUGUACAUGGCACUAUGUUGCUUGGACCCGGCACUUUUGCCGCCGUAUCCGUGUCGACACUCACACAGGUUUGGGUACGGAAUUCGUAUCAGAUUCGGUCAAUAGAGAUCGGAUACUUUGACCAAAUUAGAGAAAUUUUUUGAGAUUAUGAUUUCUUAAGAUAACGAAAAGUAGAGAUUUGAAGACAUGGAAUGGCAUACCUUCAAUAUUAUUUUGAAAAUUGAACUAGUUUCUUUAUCUCUGUUUCAGAUGUCUUCAACAUUGUUUGCUUCAUAUAGCAGGCCAAAUCGACGAAAACAGAGAGUUAAACCGCUGAUUUCAGGUAGAAGAGUGGUCAACUUGCCUUACGUAUAUGCAGCAGUUGGGAAGGGCUUGAAUAGGUCCAUAAUUCUUCCUAUUUCGAAUUUCAUGGUUGCUGGGAAGAAGAAGAAAGUUUAAAGAAAUUGGGGAAGAUGACUGGGUCAACCAAUUGGGGAAGACGACUGCGUUUCUUUUUCUUCUUCAAGAGUUUGUUUCUUUUUGGGUGUGAAUUCUGAAACACUGGGUAAAAUGAAGAGGUGGAUAGUCCACGUGCGCGUUAUUUACUUCA